GGAGAAGGUUUACUACCGUUUAUAAUUUGAAAGCACACGUGAAGGCUCAUGAACAGGCAAAUAGCUAUAUGUGUGGGGUUUGUAAUGAGUGUUUCUCCACACCAGCCAAAUUGAACACUCAUCGGAGGACUCAUUAUGAACCUGAAAGACCUUACAAAUGUGAAUUUCCUGAUUGUCAGAAGACUUUCACUC
Long non-coding RNA from Protopterus annectens (West African lungfish), 192 nucleotides. RefSeq lists it as uncharacterized. NCBI's taxonomy places the organism in Eukaryota, Metazoa, Chordata, Ceratodontiformes, Protopteridae. The transcript is spliced from 4 exons. The record is from RefSeq and is a predicted model, not a curated record.